UGUGUGUGAGCACAUCUCUUAUUUAAUAACUCCAUGACAUUGUACUUUCUCGUUUAGAUAUCAAAUGUAAUUUAUUAUCUAUAAAAGGUUCUUAUUCUGUAACAUGAAUGAUCAAUCCCCUCCAAAAUAUUUGGUAUCUCUUCCUUAUUCACAAUUUAACUGGUCUAGGAAGUAAGAUUCUUCCUUUGGCUUGUUGCAUCUGGGUUCUGGACUAAAAACAAGGAAUGUCAAAUUACUUGUAACAUACUCCAAACUUAUACUAGGCACUGGUGUCUGUAUCUAUGGUCCUAAUCAGUGGGGCGAAACAUUAUAUAGAUCGAUAAGAAUAUGGUUGUUGUAAUGCUUCUUGAGAUGCUCAAAAUUGAAAUAGACCAUGAUAACUUGUAGCUUAAUUAUUAGAGCCAGUAAUAUGAUCAGCUUUAUGCUUUUACAGAAAUAAGUUUAUUAUGAAAUUUCAAGUGUGUGUAGUGUUUUUUGUAUAUAAUUCCUCAAAUGAGCUAAUGUCAAUUAUGGUGGCACAUAUGUCUCAAUUCUCAUGCUGCAUGAAACAUAAAUGAGAAAAAUAUCUGCUCAAUAACCUGGUUUGUUGUUGCAGUUAUAAUGCUGAUUGUAAGGGGUAAGAUGAAAGGCACUGCACAAGCAUAGGUAGACCGUGAAUGAGAAAAGUAUCUGCUCAAUUCUCAUGUUGCAUCUGAUCUGAUCUGAUCUGAUCCUUCAAUAAGAUGCAUAGUAGAAGUGAGACUACCACUGUUACUUCAAGCAACAAGUAAAACCACAAUGAAUGUAUGUUUUGUGUGGAUGUCUUCCUUUCCAGUUACCUUUUAUGAAGCCUGAAAUCGAUCAUAGAUCUCCCUGUAGAGUAUAAUUCUACGACCACUAUGCUUAAGCUAUAUAUAAAUUAGCUAAAAACUGUUGGUUUUGAUUAUUAUUUUUUUUAAAAAAUUCUAUAUUUGUAUUCUUGAACCUAAUUUAUAUUUGUAUUCUUGAACCUAAUUGUAACUUCUCGUUGCUGGCAGAGUGGCAGGUAAUGACCCUAAAGAACUAUUGGAUUACCAGGAGCUCAAAUGUCUAUUUGAACACUGUCUUCACUUCUGCAAGCUUGAAGAGAAUAAUCAUGGUCGAAAUUGUCACUUAAGAAGCCAAUAUAUUCUUAUUUUUGUGUUUCAGUACCUGUAGUAGUAAAUUGUACAGGGGAGUAAUGUAUAAGAUUGGGCACAGGAGAUAAUAUUGUUGUUUGUUAUGGUUAUUAUAAUUAUUUGUUAUUGAUAGAGCAGUUAAAUAAUCAGGUUCUUGGCGGUGAACUCUCUUACUGAUUUAAAUAAAAAGAGCUGAGCUCGACUUCUUGAUUUA
RNAcentral lists this long non-coding RNA (1350 nucleotides) under Panax ginseng (ginseng). Its description in RNAcentral is "long non-coding RNA (PGIN_LNC004965)". Lineage: Eukaryota; Viridiplantae; Streptophyta; Magnoliopsida; Apiales; Araliaceae. The record is from RNAcentral.